Molecule: ribosomal RNA, 475 nt
Filed under: uncultured organism
Description: partial 16S ribosomal RNA
Rfam family: Bacterial small subunit ribosomal RNA
Source: RNAcentral
CGUACACUCCUACGGGAGGCAGCAGUAGGGAAUCUUCGGCAAUGGGGGCAACCCUGACCGAGCAACGCCGCGUGAGUGAAGAAGGUUUUCGGAUCGUAAAGCUCUGUUGUAAGUCAAGAACGAGUGUGAGAGUGGAAAGUUCACACUGUGACGGUAGCUUACCAGAAAGGGACGGCUAACUACGUGCCAGCAGCCGCGGUAAUACGUAGGUCCCGAGCGUUGUCCGGAUUUAUUGGGCGUAAAGCGAGCGCAGGCGGUUUGAUAAGUCUGAAGUUAAAGGCUGUGGCUCAACCAUAGUUCGCUUUGGAAACUGUCAAACUUGAGUGCAGAAGGGGAGAGUGGAAUUCCAUGUGUAGCGGUGAAAUGCGUAGAUAUAUGGAGGAACACCGGUGGCGAAAGCGGCUCUCUGGUCUGUAACUGACGCUGAGGCUCGAAAGCGUGGGGAGCGAACAGGAUUAGAAACCCUUGUAGUCCC